This 488-nucleotide ribosomal RNA is filed under the name uncultured Eubacteriales bacterium. RNAcentral describes it as "uncultured Clostridiales bacterium partial 16S ribosomal RNA". Lineage: Bacteria; Bacillati; Bacillota; Clostridia; Eubacteriales. The record is from RNAcentral.
CACGUAGUUAGCCGGGGCUUCUUACUCAGGUACCGUCAUUUUCUUCCCUGCUGAUAGAGCUUUACGUAACGAAUUACUUCUUCACUCACGCGGCGUCGCUGCACCAGGGUUUCCCCCAUUGUGCAAUAUUCCCCACUGCUGCCUCCCGUAGGAGUCUGGGCCGUGUCUCAGUCCCAAUGUGGCCGUCCGCCCUCUCAGGCCGGCUACUGAUCGUCGCCUUGGUGGGCCGUUACCCCGCCAACAAGCUAAUCAGACGCGGGUCCAUCUUACACCACCGGAGUUUUUCACACCGCUUCAUGCGAAGCUGUGCGCUUAUGCGGUUUUAGCACCUAUUUCUAAGUGUUAUCCCCCUGUGUAAGGCAGGUUGCCCACGCGUUACUCACCCGUCCGCCACUAACCCAUAUAUCACCAGGUUUCAAUAUGGGUCCGUUCGACUUGCAUGUGUUAAGCACGCCGCCAGCGUUCAUCCUGAGCCAGGAUCAAACUCU